Molecule: long non-coding RNA, 2138 nt
Organism: Ictalurus punctatus (channel catfish)
Lineage: Eukaryota; Metazoa; Chordata; Actinopteri; Siluriformes; Ictaluridae
Source: Ensembl
GUUAGCUCAUAUUAGCUAGCUGGCUAGUGUUUAGCACUAACACAUUUGAGUAUUUAUGAAUAUGACUUAAAAAAUCCUGUCAGGUUAGCUCAUAUUAGCUAGCUGGCUAGUGUUUAGUACUACAGAUUUUGAGUUUUCAUGAAUAUGAUGUAAAAAAAAUCCUGUCAGGUUAGCUCAUAUUAGCUAGCUGGCUAGUGUUAACAGUGAAGAUUGUGAGUUUUUAUGAUGAUGAGAAAAAUGAUCAGGGAGCUCUCUGACUCUUUUAAUUAAGAUUUCAAUCCCCUCAGAAAAUACUGACUUCAGGUUAAGUCAUACUACAUAUUUGUUAUAAUGAACGCUAAAUGUUUUUGUUUUUUUCUAUUCACGUCUGAAAGUGCACAUGAAAAUGACCAUUUUAAUCUACUCCUACAACAGGCUAUACCAUUUCUUUACUGAUGACACUGCCUCAAGCUUCCUAAUUACUUAGGCUAGCUAGCUAGCCACAAGAUUGCAAACAUAACCCUUCAAAUGUCAUUAUUGUGAAUCAUCCUCCCUGAAAUUAACCUGUGAUGAUGUCAGGAGAAUUGUGAAAGUUAGAAAAAAAUAGUAAGAGCAAAUAAAAGGAUGAGGGUGGAAAAAAAGAGAAAUUGUUUGUCUCCUCACGCUAACUCAGUAACUGAGUCACCCGCUUUGUAACACCAACAGUGCAGCAAGGCCAACCUUGAUCUGAAGAAAAAUAGGAGAAUGCUGAGGGGUUAAGAAGGAGUGUGAGACCCAGAAAGAGGAAGGGGGGAGAAAAAGAGGGAAAAGAAAGAAGGAGAGAGGCUCCUUGCUGUGUUUGCGUUCCCCCCCACUGUCUGUGAGCAAUGCUGGUGGGUCAAUAAAGAACGCAGGGGGGUGAUGGGAAAAAAAGUGGAGUUAAAAAUGAAGUCUGGCAGAGGGGCGGGGCCACUCCUGGCGCGAGCUUGCUUCUACUGCAGGUGCAUGCUGUAGCUGCUGCCAAAGUGCCAACCUGCCCUCCAUAUGGCCGUCGCCGGCCUGCCAGCCAUCUCCCGCCACUUCCCACUGAGCCCAGCGCUGGCGCUCUACAUCUAAAUCUGUCCCAGUGCCCCAGGCCUCCCCCUGUUCCGUGCCCAGGCUUCGUGAGCCCACGCCAGGCCGGCGGGUCAGUCCUGGACUGCAGUGCCAACCGGCCAACAGACCAUCCUCUCCAUAUGGAGACUCGUAGCAUCGCAACUCAUCGUUCUCUCUCUCGUAUCCUCAUGAGUGGCAUCCAUCAGCCAUGAUCUACUCAUCUGUCUCUCUGUAUCUCUCCCCUUUCAGGCCAGAUCAAACACACACAGAGAAACAGAUUAGCUGUGGCAUAACAGCGAUUCAAUUAAAAUCCCUGAACCCUACCAAUAUUACCAAAUUCUCGAAUUACAGAGGAACCGACUGCUUUCAGGCUAUCCGUAUGAAGCUUUGGGGAUUGGCGUAGGGGCAAAGAAUCGCCUUUUUAUUAUCUACCUGUCUCUCUUCUCUUUGCACACUGGAUACCUGUGUACACUUCAAUGUGUGGGAUAUAACUACUUUUAACACGUUAUUUCUAUUUCCAGUCUGCUUGCACCACAUUGCUGACAGUAGCACUUCCUGGUUGCCCAUAAAUCCACAUAAACAGACCUAAAGCACUACAUCGUCCAAGACGAUAAAACAACACAGGAAUGUCACGCUCCCUCUUCCCUAUGUACUUUAUAGCUCCUCCUUUCUUCCAAUAAACAGAUAUUGAUUGAGCAAUAAUCCUCUCAGUCUCUGUCACCGCGUUUCACGAGCGUAAGCUAUUAGCCCAAUCACAUCGAGCUGCUGUUCUCCUUAAGCCUAGCUCAGAAAGAGUGAUCAGUUUGGUGGGGCUUAAAUUCACAACACCACACCACCAGAGACAGAUGGAGAGAAAGAGGAAAGAGGAGAGCAAGGAGAACUAGAGGGAAGCUCUGACCUCAAAGACACAUCUUUCAACCAAUCCUUUAACUCAUGUUAGCCAGCUAGUUAGUGUCGAAUAUGGGUAUUCAUUAAUAUGACCUGUCAUGUUAAAUCCUAUUAGCCAGCUACCUAAUAUUAGCGGGUAAUACAGUUCUUAAACAUUAACAAAACAACUUCAGAGGGUAGCUCAUAUAAGCUAUCUG